Molecule: long non-coding RNA, 688 nt
Organism: Cryptomeria japonica (Japanese cedar)
Lineage: Eukaryota; Viridiplantae; Streptophyta; Pinopsida; Cupressales; Cupressaceae
Exons: 4
Source: RefSeq, a predicted model, not a curated record
CCCUCUGCGUCUAGGGCGUCUAGGGCUCGUCCUAAGAAAAAUAAUUCCUCGAAGACACCAAAACAUGGGAAGAAGGUAAUUGAACACAUUUUUAGUUGUACAAUUGUUUGAAAAUGUUGAAAUCAAGUAUUAGUUGGGGUUUGUAGAUUGAUUAGUGUUUUUUGUCUAUUUUACAUGUACAACGGCCAUUGACCUAUGUGGAUUUGUUGAGUGCACCUGAUUCGCUCGUGAAUCAAGAGAGGGCAGAGGAAAUAUCCAUACCUAUUUCAUCAAUGGCGAACCCUCCUUCGUGCACUGGAGAAGCAUCUCAGGAUCCGAUACACUUUUGUUUGAUAUGUAAAAUUAAUUGUUUUUAACCUUCAAUACUUAUCAUUAUAUUAAUUAUAUUUAAUCUUUGAACAUUUUUUAUAUAGGUAAUAGCGACAGUUUCUACAUCGAUGGUGAGUCAUCCUCAGUCCAUUGGAGAAGCAUCUCAGGCAUAGACCCCUUCAUGGUAUAGCCAUAAUGUGGAUCCAUUUAAGUAUGUCUUCAAUAAACUCCUAUGAGUGACAAGGAGAGGAGAGCAAAGACAUUAGCUCCUAGAUCAACCGAUGAGAGCCGUGUAAAGCAUUGAAGAGACUUGAUUUUGAUGAUCCACCAUAAGUUUAGGAUCAUAUAGUGUUAGUUUUGGUCAUAGAAUGACCAAUAC